UACGUAGGGUGCGAGCGUUGUCCGGAAUUAUUGGGCGUAAAGGGCUCGUAGGCGGUCUGUCGCGUCGGGAGUGAAAACUCAGGGCUUAACCCUGAGCCUGCUUCCGAUACGGGCAGACUAGAGGUAUGCAGGGGAGAACGGAAUUCCUGGUGUAGCGGUGGAAUGCGCAGAUAUCAGGAAGAACACCAAUGGCGAAGGCAGCUCUCUGGGACGGUACUGACGCUGAGACGCGAAAGCGUGGGGAGCGAACAGG
This 253-nucleotide ribosomal RNA is filed under the name uncultured bacterium. RNAcentral describes it as "partial 16S ribosomal RNA". It matches the Rfam family "Bacterial small subunit ribosomal RNA", at positions 524 to 776 of the family's 1533-position model. The record is from RNAcentral.